GUCGGUAGUGAUAGGAUACUUAAAAUAAGGAGCGAUGAAGGAUUAUAAUUAGGGAUUGUUGGUUUUUUUUAGAGUAACAUGUUAUAUUUAGUUUUCCUUUCUAAAAUCUCUCUAAUUUCUAGAGUGUGAUCCCUACUCGAAUCGGGUCGUAUCAUUCUUUCUUGUGCGGUUCUAUGAUGAAAAAACAUAUUAAUUUAUGCACACUAGAGGGGUGUUUGUUUCCAGGUUAUAAAAUUUAUUCCUGGGAAUAUGAGGAUGGGAAUGCACUUUCCCAUGUUUGGUAGAAGGUAAAAGAAAAAUAUACCUGGGAACAAAUUAUACCCAGGAAAUUUUUUAACCCAUGAUCUCCCUAUUUUUAUUCCCAUGAAAAAGGAGUUGGAAUGUUUUAUUCCUAGAAAUGACAUUUGCCUUGCUACAUGAAAACCCCACUACCACCAUGUUUUUUCAACUGCCAAUUAAUUUCUAUUUUUUUCUUUUACAUGCUCUACAUCAAGACAUUGUUAUAAUGUAUGUUAUUAUAUGUAAUUCAUCUAUUAUUUCUUUAUGUUCUUUUUGGUUUGUGCAAAAACAUAUUUAUGUGUCUAUUCAAGUUUUCAACAAUAUUGUUCUAUUAUAUCAAUCAACUAUAUUCUAUCAAUCAACUAUAUGAAAACAUAAUUUUAUUUCAUGGUGUAUUUUCAAAUGCUUCAAGUUAUAAUGAAAAUAAAAUGUAGUAAAAUAAAUUCAAAUUGAUUUAGAAACAAGGUAGAGGUAUUUUUGUAACUGUAUCAUGUUUUUUCUAGGAAUAUAUAUUCUAAACUAAACAACAAUUAGCUAUUUAUGGGAACAUUUUUUGAAAAUAUUCCUGAAAAAUUAAAAUACUAACCAAACACUUUUUUUUAAAAUACCCAGGAAUAAACUUCCCACUACUUUAUUCCCAGGUAAGUUAUUCC
Molecule: long non-coding RNA, 932 nt
Filed under: Medicago truncatula (barrel medic)
Lineage: Eukaryota; Viridiplantae; Streptophyta; Magnoliopsida; Fabales; Fabaceae
Description: long non-coding RNA (MTRU_LNC000563)
Source: RNAcentral